RNAcentral lists this long non-coding RNA (221 nucleotides) under Oryza brachyantha (malo sina). RNAcentral's name for it is "long non-coding RNA (OBRA_LNC003136)". The record is from RNAcentral. Lineage: Eukaryota; Viridiplantae; Streptophyta; Magnoliopsida; Poales; Poaceae.
UCAAAGUACUCAGAGCAUUUGCUGAAGAAAAACAAAGCCCAGAUCAUGAGCUUGCAACGGAAGUGCAGAGAACAGAAGACAUUUGUCCUCCGUCUAAAAUGGUUUUCCAGCAUGAGAAUAAGUUUGUUAAUUGCCUAGCCUGAUAAUUUUCAUAUUAAUCCCUUGUUUGUAAUAUAAUGGACAUAUAUAGUGCAGAAUUAUGUUUUUGUGGUUUAGAACAU